Molecule: small nucleolar RNA, 109 nt
Organism: Prunus persica (peach)
Lineage: Eukaryota; Viridiplantae; Streptophyta; Magnoliopsida; Rosales; Rosaceae
Rfam family: Plant small nucleolar RNA R71
About the family: R71 is a member of the C/D box family of snoRNAs containing the C (UGAUGA) and D (CUGA) box motifs.
Source: Rfam
AAACCAUGAUGAGGGCAUUGAAGAAACAAAUCCUUAUAUCUCUCCCAACAUUCAUGAAAUUGUUCACGCUCUUGUUGAUGAAAACUCAUAAUAUUUGCUAUCAAAGUAU